AUUGAACGCUGGCGGCAUGCCUAACACAUGCAAGUCGAACGGCAGCACGGCAGUAGCAAUACUGUGGGUGGCGAGUGGCGGACGGGUGAGGAAUACGUCGGAAUCUGCCCAGUCGUGGGGGAUAACUAGCCGAAAGGUUAGCUAAUACCGCAUACGACCGAGAGGUGAAAGCGGGGGACCGCAAGGCCUCGCGCGAUUGGAUGAGCCGACGUCGGAUUAGCUAGUUGGAGGGGUAAAGGCCCACCAAGGCGACGAUCCGUAGCUGGUCUGAGAGGAUGAUCAGCCACACUGGAACUGAGACACGGUCCAGACUCCUACGGGAGGCAGCAGUGGGGAAUAUUGGACAAUGGGCGCAAGCCUGAUCCAGCAAUGCCGCGUGUGUGAAGAAGGCCUU
Molecule: ribosomal RNA, 394 nt
Filed under: uncultured bacterium
Lineage: Bacteria
Description: bacterial SSU rRNA
Rfam family: Bacterial small subunit ribosomal RNA
Source: RNAcentral